RNAcentral lists this ribosomal RNA (407 nucleotides) under uncultured microorganism. RNAcentral describes it as "bacterial SSU rRNA". It matches the Rfam family "Archaeal small subunit ribosomal RNA", at positions 330 to 745 of the family's 1478-position model. The record is from RNAcentral.
GCGCAGCAGGCGCGAAUACUUUACAAUGUGCGAAAGCACGAUAAGGGAACUCUGAGUGCCUCCUAAGGAGGCUGUUCAGGUGUCUAAAAGCACCUGAAGGAAGGGCUGGGUAAGACCGGUGCCAGCCGCCGCGGUAACACCGGCAGCCCAAGUGGUAGCCACGUUUAUUGGGUCUAAGCGUCCGUAGCCGGCUGGGUAAGUUCCUUGGGAAAUUUGGCUGCUUAACAGUCAAGCUUUCAGGGAAUACUGCCCGGCUUGGGACCGGGAGAGGUCAGAGGUACUCCAGGGGUAGGGUGAAAUCCAUUAAUCCUUGGGGGACCACCGGUAGCGAAGGCGUCUGACCAGACCGGGUCCGACGGUGAGGGACGAAGGCUAGGGGCGCGAACCGGAUUAGAUACCCCGGUAGU